AGAGGCUGGAGCGCUGUGUUGGGAUCGUCACCUCCCUCACCUGCGGCCUCUCGGACAGGGAGGCCAACGAUGCCCUCAACGCACACAUCUGCAAGGGGACCCCCCAGCACGAGGAGAUUUGCCUGGGGCUCUUCACCCUGGUGCUGACAGAGCCCUCCCAGGCACAGAAGUGCUACCGGGACCUGGCC
Molecule: long non-coding RNA, 188 nt
Organism: Myiozetetes cayanensis
Lineage: Eukaryota; Metazoa; Chordata; Aves; Passeriformes; Tyrannidae
Exons: 3
Source: RefSeq, a predicted model, not a curated record